AGUGAACGCUGGCGGUAGGCCUAACACAUGCAAGUCGAACGGCAGCACAGUAAGAGCUUGCUCUUACGGGUGGCGAGUGGCGGACGGGUGAGGAAUACAUCGGAAUCUACUUUUUCGUGGGGGAUAACGUAGGGAAACUUACGCUAAUACCGCAUACGACCUACGGGUGAAAGCAGGGGAUCUUCGGACCUUGCGCGAUUGAAUGAGCCGAUGUCGGAUUAGUUAGUUGGCGGGGUAAAGGCCCACCAAGGCGACGAUCCGUAGCUGGUCUGAGAGGAUGAUCAGCCACACUGGAACUGAGACACGGUCCAGACUCCUACGGGAGGCAGCAGUGGGGAAUAUUUGACAAUGGGCGCAAGCCUGAUCCAGCCAUACCGCGUGGGUGAAGAAGGCCUUCGGGUUGUAAAGCCCUUUUGUUGGGAAAGAAAAGCAGCAGGUUAAUACCCCGCUGUUCUGACGGUACCCAAAGAAUAAGCACCGGCUAACUUCGUG
Molecule: ribosomal RNA, 492 nt
Filed under: uncultured bacterium
Lineage: Bacteria
Description: partial 16S ribosomal RNA
Rfam family: Bacterial small subunit ribosomal RNA
Source: RNAcentral